AAAAAUUACGAAAUUUAUUUUCUAGAAGUUUCAAAUACUCUAGAUAAUAUUUAACGGUGUGGAUUAUCGAUUCGUAAGCCCCAACAUCGAAAACAACUUAUGAGUACGAAGGGCUCUGUACUCAUAAGAGUAUAGUAGCCCUACUAUAUGUAUAUAUAUAUAUAUAUAGGGAGAGAGAGAGAGAGAGAGAGCUGGAAUACUAUCAAUUCCUUUGAUCAUUUCUAAUAUUUAGAUUAAUACUAUUACUCUGUGGGGACCACUUACUACUCAACCCUAGGAGAGACCAUAAUCAUCCCACCCGUAAAAUUCUUAAUCCAAGGAUAAAAAAAUUGGAAAUACCAAAUCCUCUAUACUUUACUUUCAAUAGCACUAGUUAAACACCCGCGCUUCGCUGCGGAAAAAAAAAUUACAGUAAAUAUACAAUAAUAAUUAAUAAAUAAUAACAAAAAAGUAUUAAAAAAUAGAAAUUAUUUAUAUAUUAGCCCCUUUCUCCUUCACUGCACCGCCAAUCCCGUCGCGCCGUACGCGAAUCCCGGAGAUCGCGAGGUUACAACCAUACCCUGAUCGGAUCCCAGCGAUCCUGUGAAGCCCGCCGAUCCGCCAGAAAUCCGCCCCGUACACAGAUCCCGCGAAUCCCGCACCCCAAAUCUCACCGGCGCACCGUCUCGCUACUCCGCGCCGCUCGCUGAGCCGGAGAUCCCGUAAAUCCCGCCAUCACGUACGCAAAUCCCGGAGAUCACGCCAUUGCCGUACGCAGAUCUCGCGGAUCCGGUCGCAAAUCACACCCCCGUCUUGUCGCCG
Molecule: long non-coding RNA, 801 nt
Filed under: Ananas comosus (pineapple)
Lineage: Eukaryota; Viridiplantae; Streptophyta; Magnoliopsida; Poales; Bromeliaceae
Description: long non-coding RNA (ACOM_LNC038109)
Source: RNAcentral